Molecule: ribosomal RNA, 253 nt
Filed under: uncultured bacterium
Lineage: Bacteria
Description: partial 16S ribosomal RNA
Rfam family: Bacterial small subunit ribosomal RNA
Source: RNAcentral
UACGUAGGGUGCAAGCGUUGCCCGGAUUUACUGGGCGUAAAGCGUGCGCAGGCGGUUGUGCAAGACCGAUGUGAAAUCCCCGGGCUUAACCUGGGAAUGGCAUUGGUGACUGUACGGCUAGAGUGUGUCAGAGGGGGGUAGAAUUCCACGUGUAGCAGUGAAAUGCGUAGAGAUGUGGAGGAAUACCGAUGGCGAAGGCAGCCCCCUGGGAUAACACUGACGCUCAUGCACGAAAGCGUGGGGAGCAAACAGG